This 3340-nucleotide long non-coding RNA is filed under the name Homo sapiens (human). RNAcentral describes it as "HSALNT0250753". The record is from RNAcentral. Lineage: Eukaryota; Metazoa; Chordata; Mammalia; Primates; Hominidae.
CUGCUCAGUGAGUGGGAGGGCUGGUACCUUCUCUUGUUUCUGAGACCCAGGUAGCAAAGGAGUUUGAGUUUGCAGUUGGAAUCAAAGGCUCUCCAACAAGGAAACAACUAAAUACUUUUUCAAACGUAAUGUUCAACACACAGUAAUAAAUAACCAAGCAAAUGAGGAAUGAAGACAACAUUCAAAGAACAGCACAAACAAGAAGUAACAGAAAGAUAUUCAUGGUCAUUAUUGACAGUGGGAUUACCAGGCACUCUAAAGCAACAUUAUAAUAUACUCAAGAAAACAAAGACCUGGCCGGGUGUGGUGGCUCACGCCUGUAAUCCCAGCACUUUGGGAGGCCGAGGUGGGCGGAUCACCUGAGGUCAGGAGUUCGAGACCAACCUGGUCAGUAUGGUGAAACCCCACCUCUACUAAAAAUACAAAAAUUAGCCAGGUGUGGUGGCAGGCACCUGUAAUCCCAGUUACUCAGGAAGCUGAGGCAGGGGAAUGGAAUCGCUUGAACCCGGGAGGUGAAGCUUGCGGUGAGGAGAGAUUGUGCCAUUGCACUCUAGCCUGGGCAACAGAGCAAGACUCCGUCUCAAAAACAAAAACAAAAACAAACAAAGAAAGUAAAGGCCAAACUUGAAAUUUGUUGGCAAGGAUUGGAAAUUGGAAGCUAUAAAAAGUAAUUGUCCACAUUUGAUAGAGAACCUCUAGAAACACUCUAAUUAAAAAUAUAAUAACCAAAAUCAAGAUCUCAAUGAUGUAUUUAGCAGCAAAUAAAUACAGUUAAUGAAAGAACUAGGAGAAAGGUCAAAAGCAACUAUCCAGACUUAACUCAGGAAAAAGCAUGAAAAUUCAGAGGAGUCAGAGACAUAUGCAGUUUGAUCAGCAUGUAUGCUAAAUGUGUACCUAUUCAAAUGGGAUCCCCAAUGGAGAGAAGAGAGUGAGCAUUUGAAAAGAUAAUGGUUGAGAAUUCCCCCAAACAGAUAAAAAUCCUACGAAUCUCAAGCAGCAUAAAUAAAAUGUACUCAUACCUAGACAUAUCAUAGUCCAAUUUCAGAAGACCAAAAUCAAAGAGAAAAAUUUUAAAAGCAGACAAGUGACAAUAGACAGAAGCAACAAUUAGAAUGCUGGUAAACCAGGUGCAGUGGUGCCUGCCUGUAGUCCAAGCUACUCAAGAGGCUGAGGCGGGUGGGAGGAUUGCUUGAGGCCAGGAGUUCGAGGCUGCAGUGAGCUAUGAUUGCACCUGUGACUAGCCAUGGCACUCCAACCUGGGCAACACUGUGAGACCCUCAUCUCCAAGAACAAAAAGAAUGACAGCAGACUUCUCAAAAAUGAUAACAGAAAUAAGAAAAUAGUAGAAUGAUAUUUUCAAUUUGGCCAAUCUAGAAUUCUACACCUAGUAAAAAUAUUUUUCAGUAAUCAUGGUAAAAUAAAGUCAGUGAAAUAAAAACUGAAAGAAGCUGCCACCAAGAGACCUGCACUAAAGGAAAUUCUGACAGAUAUUCUUUGGGUAAAGAGAAGAUCCCAGAUGAAAGCUUGGAGAUGAAGGAAAAAUUGAAGAGGAAUGAAAAUGGAAACAACACAGGUGUGUUCCUGCAAGACCUCUCUUUCCCUAGGGGAAAACAGAGACAUCUCAUCACAGAUAGCUCUAGGUUUGCCUUGGCCAUGAUGUCCAAGUGGUCUGCUUGGUUCCAUGCCUGCGUCUGAGCUGGCUCUGUGGGAGGUGCCAAGCUGCCUUCGACACUGUGCAUGGCACUUUAAAGCUCUCAAUAAAUAUUUUUCAAGUGAAGUCAAUGAAGCAAGAAAGAAUCUCAACUAGUUUUGAGUUUUGGUUGAAGAGAAGGCUCACAGAGGCUCAGGGAAGCCCUCAGGUUUCAUGGGGACAGCCUGAAGAAUGACCUUCAUAUAAUGGCCACACAGCCACUUGGGCCACCGGAGCUCACCGUGAGACACACUCACCAUCUCGUCUUCAUGUCUGGUGCUCCCUUUAGUUUUCUGGCAAGAAGCUAGGGAGAAGGUGACUUGAGCUCCUCGUGUGUUUUGAUCACUCAACAAAGAAGACAAAAGGGCGUUUCAUAACCUGACAGUGGGAGAGCACAUUAAAAAGGAGCUGAGCUGACCUUUGCACUGUCUAUGAAGAAUGAGUUUCCUAAACUCAUCAUAGCAACAAGAUAUAACGGGGGUUAUUAAGCCACUAAAACUUUUUCUGAAUUCAUAUGCACUUUUUCCCAAAUAGAAUGCUGACGACAAAUAAUUUUAUCAAUCAUUAAAGAAGAUCCCUUCAGAACCUCUCCAGGGAAAUACUUGUAGCUUAGUUCUGGUUAGCACGUAAUGCCACAAGAAUCUGGCAUCAUUUAGACCAGCCAUUUAUUCAGAUAUCAAGAGCAAGAGACUGUAACUGAUUCCCUGACCUCUGACUAAAAACAAAUAUAAACAGUUCUGUGGACUAAAUGUUGUUUAUCCUGGGAAGGAUGUGGUUUUAUCACUGUUGCCCACAGUAACUGGUCAGCCCCUGUGUCUCAGAAGGGAGCUGAGAAGGCUUGAAAGGGUACACCUACCUGUCCUGGCUGAGCAAGAGGGCCAUCAGAGUGGAGACCACUGUUCCCAGCCAGCCAGUGAGAGCCCACCAGGGGUUCUGAACAAGAAGUCCUACCAGAAUCAGGAUUCCACUGACGGGGUUGUUGACGAACACCACUUGGGAUAUGCCCCGGAGAAUCCAGUCAAUGAACUGGAGCACCACGGGUUUGUCUGGAAGGGAUGAGGUAAAGCAGAGCUAAGGAAGCUGCCAAGUGAUACUCUUCAACCACAGGCCCACCCUGAGCAAAAUCAGCAAAACCUCCUGGAAGUGAAACAUUUUUGAUAUUUCUUUAAUAUUUCUCUCUCAACCCAUUGUUGCAUUAGUGGCACCCAGAUCCCUGAAAGCCUCUAUCUACUGUAUGCUCAACCCACACUGCCCCUCCUAGAAUCUAAGCUCCUGAAAGCAUCUAAUGCACUUAUUUUCAUGCUUAUAGGUACAAAUUCUGAAGCCAAAGGAAUAAAUUUAAGUUUUAAGUACUGAAACUACAGGAUGAAGCCAGGUGCCUUCUAAUAUGAGCUGGGCCCUGGCUACUGUCUCCAUAAGAAAAAAAAAUGGAGAGGUUUGCAGGUUAAAAGAUAAAAGUAGAAAAAUGGUGAGUAAAGAGAUCUAUAAAAAGUUGGAGAAUAUAACUAAAGGUAUAAGUAGAAGUACCAGGAAACCAUUUCCCCCAAAGCUACUUCUCCUGUCUCUCCAAAAUGUGAAAGGAUAAAUACCUUUAAGCUGGUUGGCAAGUUCUUUCAUGUCACCGGUGACAUAGCCAAGAGCUUUGGGGAA